GCGGCGUGAUUACAAACCGGACGUCUGAAGGUCAACCGACCGCAGAGUCGAUGUGGUCCUUGUCCCCCGUGGCUGAGUG
This 79-nucleotide small nucleolar RNA is filed under the name Trypanosoma cruzi. RNAcentral's name for it is "C/D small nucleolar RNA (snoRNA)". The record is from RNAcentral. Lineage: Eukaryota; Euglenozoa; Kinetoplastea; Trypanosomatida; Trypanosomatidae.